Molecule: transfer RNA, 63 nt
Filed under: Spirobrachia sp. YL-2014
Lineage: Eukaryota; Metazoa; Annelida; Polychaeta; Sabellida; Siboglinidae
Description: tRNA-Glu
Source: RNAcentral
AUAUUAAUAGUAUAAUAUAAUACACUAACUUUUCAUGUUAAAAAUAUUCUUAAAUUUAAUAUA